GAUGAACGCUGGCGGCGUGCUUAACACAUGCAAGUCGAACGAUGAAGCCCAGCUUGCUGGGUGGAUUAGUGGCGAACGGGUGAGUAACACGUGAGUAACCUGCCCUUAACUCUGGGAUAAGCCUGGGAAACUGGGUCUAAUACCGGAUAGGAGCGCCUACCGCAUGGUGGGUGUUGGAAAGAUUUAUCGGUUUUGGAUGGACUCGCGGCCUAUCAGCUUGUUGGUGAGGUAAUGGCUCACCAAGGCGACGACGGGUAGCCGGCCUGAGAGGGUGACCGGCCACACUGGGACUGAGACACGGCCCAGACUCCUACGGGAGGCAGAAGUGGGGAAUAUUGCACAAUGGGCGAAAGCCUGAUGCAGCGACGCCGCGUGAGGGAUGACGGCCUUCGGGUUGUAAACCUCUUUCGGUAGGGAAGAAGCGAAAGUGACGGUACCUGCAGAAGAAGCACCGGCUAACUACGUG
RNAcentral lists this ribosomal RNA (466 nucleotides) under uncultured bacterium. RNAcentral's name for it is "partial 16S ribosomal RNA". It matches the Rfam family "Bacterial small subunit ribosomal RNA", at positions 28 to 507 of the family's 1533-position model. The record is from RNAcentral.